CCCUUAGAUGUUCUGGGCUGCACGCGCGCUACACUGAUGCGCUCAACGAGUUUAUGACCUUGCCCGGCAGGGUUGGGUAAUCUUCUUAAAACGCAUCGUGAUGGGGAUAGAUUAUUGCAAUUAUUAAUCUUCAACGAGGAAUUCCUAGUAAGCGCGAGUCAUCAGCUCGUGCUGAUUACGUCCCUGCCCUUUGUACACACCGCCCGUCGCUCCUACCGAUUGAAUGGUCCGGUGAAGCGUUCGGACCGUGGCCUUUGGACGGUUCGCCGUCUGUUGGCUGCGGGAAGUUCGUUAAACCUUAUCAUUUAGAGGAAGGAGAAGUCGUAACA
RNAcentral lists this ribosomal RNA (329 nucleotides) under uncultured eukaryote. RNAcentral describes it as "partial 18S ribosomal RNA". It matches the Rfam family "Eukaryotic small subunit ribosomal RNA", at positions 1470 to 1796 of the family's 1831-position model. The record is from RNAcentral.